GCACUGUAACUGAACCUGUGGAGCCCCUUCAUGGCUCACUCGGGUCAAGCAAUGGUGCAACAGUAAAGGCUUGUUAUAACUGGAGCCUCUUGGCGUUUCCCCCCAAGUUGCUCUUUUAAAAGCAAUCCACAAAA
Molecule: small nucleolar RNA, 134 nt
Organism: Ctenopharyngodon idella (grass carp)
Lineage: Eukaryota; Metazoa; Chordata; Actinopteri; Cypriniformes; Xenocyprididae
Source: RefSeq, a predicted model, not a curated record